GACGAACGCUGGCGGCGUGCUUAACACAUGCAAGUCGAACGAAGAGCGAUGGAAGCUUGCUUCUAUCAAUCUUAGUGGCGAACGGGUGAGUAACGCGUAAUCAACCUGCCCUUCAGAGGGGGACAACAGUUGGAAACGACUGCUAAUACCGCAUACGAUCUAAACUCGGCAUCGAGGAUAGAUGAAAGGUGGCCUCUACAUGUAAGCUAUCACUGAAGGAGGGGAUUGCGUCUGAUUAGCUAGUUGGAGGGGUAACGGCCCACCAAGGCGAUGAUCAGUAGCCGGUCUGAGAGGAUGAACGGCCACAUUGGGACUGAGACACGGCCCAGACUCCUACGGGAGGCAGCAGUGGGGAAUCUUCCGCAAUGGACGAAAGUCUGACGGAGCAACGCCGCGUGAGUGAUGACGGCCUUCGGGUUGUAAAGCUCUGUUAAUCGGGACGAAAGGCCUUCUUGCGAA
This 459-nucleotide ribosomal RNA is filed under the name Veillonella parvula. RNAcentral's name for it is "bacterial SSU rRNA". It matches the Rfam family "Bacterial small subunit ribosomal RNA", at positions 28 to 464 of the family's 1533-position model. The record is from RNAcentral. Lineage: Bacteria; Bacillati; Bacillota; Negativicutes; Veillonellales; Veillonellaceae.